Molecule: ribosomal RNA, 616 nt
Filed under: uncultured bacterium
Lineage: Bacteria
Description: bacterial SSU rRNA
Rfam family: Bacterial small subunit ribosomal RNA
Source: RNAcentral
CCUACGGGAGGCAGCAGUGGGGAAUUUUGGACAAUGGGCGAAAGCCUGAUCCAGCCAUUCCGCGUGCAGGAUGAGGGCCCUCGGGUUGUAAACUGCUUUUGUACAGAACGAAAAGGUUUCUACUAAUACUAGGAGCUCAUGACGGUACUGUAAGAAUAAGCACCGGCUAACUACGUGCCAGCAGCCGCGGUAAUACGUAGGGUGCAAGCGUUAAUCGGAAUUACUGGGCGUAAAGCGUGCGCAGGCGGUUAUAUAAGUCAGAUGUGAAAUCCCCGGGCUCAACCUGGGAACUGCAUUUGAGACUGUAUAGCUAGAGUACGGUAGAGGGGGAUGGAAUUCCGCGUGUAGCAGUGAAAUGCGUAGAUAUGCGGAGGAACACCGAUGGCGAAGGCAAUCCCCUGGACCUGUACUGACGCUCAUGCACGAAAGCGUGGGGAGCAAACAGGAUUAGAUACCCUGGUAGUCCACGCCCUAAACGAUGUCAACUGGUUNUUGGGUCUUAACUGACUCAGUAACGAAGCUAACGCGUGAAGUUGACCGCCUGGGGAUACGGCCGCAAGGUUGAAACUCAAAGGAAUUGACGGCUGAGACGNGCGAGCGACGACGAGGGAGGAGG